UGGGGCGUCGACAAGCGGUAAGUCACUUGCCUUUGGAGCAAGUAUCCGGAGGUUCGAAUCCUCCCGCCCCAA
Molecule: transfer RNA, 72 nt
Filed under: Deltaproteobacteria bacterium
Lineage: Bacteria; Pseudomonadati; Myxococcota; Myxococcia
Description: tRNA-Gln
Rfam family: tRNA
About the family: Transfer RNA (tRNA) molecules are approximately 80 nucleotides in length. Their secondary structure includes four short double-helical elements and three loops (D, anti-codon, and T loops).
Source: RNAcentral